GAAGGGGUGACGCAGGAAGGUAGCCGUACCAGUCAGUGGUAACACUGGGGCAAGCCGGUAGGGAGAGCGAUAGGCAAAUCCGUCGCUCACUAAUCCUGAGAGGUGACGCAUAGCCGGUUGAGGCGAAUUCGGUGAUCCUCUGCUGCCAAGAAAAGCCUCUAGCGAGCACACACACGGCCCGUACCCCAAACCGACACAGGUGGUCAGGUAGAGCAUACCAAGGCGUACGAGAUAACUAUGGUUAAGGAACUCGGCAAAAUGCCCCCGUAACUUCGGGAGAAGGGGGACCGGAAUAUCGUGAACACCCUUGCGGUGGGAGCGGGAUCCGGUCGCAGAAACCAGUGAGGAGCGACUGUUUACUAAAAACACAGGUCCGUGCGAAGUCGCAAGACGAUGUAUACGGACUGACGCCUGCCCGGUGCUGGAAGGUUAAGAGGACCCGUUAACCCGCAAGGGUGAAGCGGAGAAUUUAAGCCCCAGUAAACGGCGGUGGUAACUAUAACCAUCCUAAGGUAGCGAAAUUCCUUGUCGGGUAAGUUCCGACCUGCACGAAUGGCGUAACGACUUCUCAACUGUCUCAACCAUAGACUCGGCGAAAUUGCACUACGAGUAAAGAUGCUCGUUACGCGCGGCAGGACGAAAAGACCCCGGGACCUUCACUACAACUUGGUAUUGAUGUUCGGUACGGUUUGUGUAGGAUAGGUGGGAGACUGUGAAACCUCGACGCCAGUUGGGGCGGAGUCGUUGUUGAAAUACCACUCUGAUCGUAUUGGGCAUCUAACCUCGAACCCUGAAUCGGGUUUAGGGACAGUGCCUGGCGGGUAGUUUAACUGGGGCGGUUGCCUCCUAAAAUGUAACGGAGGCGCCCAAAGGUUCCCUCAACCUGGACGGCAAUCAGGUGGCGAGUGUAAAUGCACAAGGGAGCUUGACUGCGAGACUUACAAGUCAAGCAGGGACGAAAGUCGGGAUUAGUGAUCCGGCACCCCCGAGUGGAAGGGGUGUCGCUCAACGGAUAAAAGGUACCCCGGGGAUAACAGGCUGAUCUUCCCCAAGAGUCCAUAUCGACGGGAUGGUUUGGCACCUCGAUGUCGGCUCGUCGCAUCCUGGGGCUGGAGCAGGUCCCAAGGGUUGGGCUGUUCGCCCAUUAAAGCGGCACGCGAGCUGGGUUUAGAACGUCGUGAGACAGUUCGGUCUCUAUCCGCCGCGCGCGUCAGAAACUUGAGGAAACCUGUCCCUAGUACGAGAGGACCGGGACGGACGAACCUCUGGUGCACCAGUUGUCCCGCCAGGGGCACCGCUGGAUAGCCACGUUCGGUCAGGAUAACCGCUGAAAGCAUCUAAGCGGGAAACCUUCUCCAAGAUCAGGUUUCUCACCCACUUGGUGGGAUAAGGCCCCCCGCAGAACACGGGUUCAAUAGGUCAGACCUGGAAGCUCAGUAAUGGGUGUAGGGAACUGGUGCUAACCGGCCGAAAACUUACAACA
Molecule: ribosomal RNA, 1483 nt
Filed under: Mycobacterium tuberculosis
Lineage: Bacteria; Bacillati; Actinomycetota; Actinomycetes; Mycobacteriales; Mycobacteriaceae
Description: bacterial LSU rRNA
Rfam family: Bacterial large subunit ribosomal RNA
Source: RNAcentral